AGUGAACGCUGGCGGUAGGCCUAACACAUGCAAGUCGAACGGCAGCACAGUAAGAGCUUGCUCUUACGGGUGGCGAGUGGCGGACGGGUGAGGAAUACAUCGGGAUCUACUUUUUCGUGGGGGAUAACGUAGGGAAACUUACGCUAAUACCGCAUACGACCUACGGGUGAAAGCAGGGGAUCUUCGGACCUUGCGCGAUUGAAUGAGCCGAUGUCGGAUUAGCUAGUUGGCGGGGUAAAGGCCCACCAAGGCGACGAUCCGUAGCUGGUCUGAGAGGAUGAUCGGCCACACUGGAACUGAGACACGGUCCAGACUCCUACGGGAGGCAGCAGUGGGGAAUAUUGGACAAUGGGCGCAAGCCUGAUCCAGCCAUACCGCGUGGGUGAAGAAGGCCUUCGGGUUGUAAAGCCCUUUUGUUGGGAAAGAAAAGCAGCAGGUUAAUACCCCGCUGUUCUGACGGUACCCAAAGAAUAAGCACCGGCUAACUUCGUG
RNAcentral lists this ribosomal RNA (492 nucleotides) under uncultured bacterium. RNAcentral's name for it is "partial 16S ribosomal RNA". It matches the Rfam family "Bacterial small subunit ribosomal RNA", at positions 29 to 507 of the family's 1533-position model. The record is from RNAcentral.